This is a long non-coding RNA of Teleopsis dalmanni, 1012 nucleotides long. RefSeq lists it as uncharacterized. Lineage: Eukaryota; Metazoa; Arthropoda; Insecta; Diptera; Diopsidae. The transcript has 2 exons. The record is from RefSeq and is a predicted model, not a curated record.
GUCAAUUCGAGCUAAAAAUGUAACAAAGUCAAUGCUAUUUCUUUGUUUCUUUGCAGUGUCGAACUCCACCACUACCUCCUCCAUAUCCGAACCUAUGAUUUAGUCGACAACUGCGCAGAUAAUUCCCUACAGUAACGUUUAAGGGAAAAAGCCGUAUUUAUUUUUAGCUUACUAUGCCUAUUUUUCCCAUUUUCUUUUUACUUGUUUUUUUUUUUAAUAUCUGUAUAUAAUUACUGUCAACUUAUAAUAACAAUGUUAACCAUAAAUUUUUUUUCAAUUAGAAUUAAACAUUCACUUUUGCAUCAUUAUACACCAUAAAAACCAAACAAAUAUAAAUAACAAAGAAAUAAACAAAGCAAGUUAAAAGAAUGUUUUUGUUGUUAUAUUGUCUGGCAACUGUAGCUGUGGUAGUGGCAUACGUGUGCAUUAAAACGUAAACACAAACAUGGCGUCAAAACAAAAAGAAAAACAGCCCAUAACGUAUAUACAUAUAUAUAAUAUAUGGAGAUAAGUUGAUCAAUAUUUAUAGAUUCAUAUCAUUCUUAUUUUUAAAAUCCUUAUAUUAUUUGAGAAAAAAAGAAAAAUACAAAAAUACAUAAUCUUUCAAAAGUCAAAACGUAGUCAGUCAUCAUUGAUACAAGACAAAAGUGCAAGAGAGAUAACGAAAUAAUGUAAACAACAACAAACGGUGAAAAACAACAGCAACAAAUAUUAAGAUUAGACGCAUAAGAAGAUGGAAAAGAGAAAAUGUAAAAUGGCACGUACAAAAUUUUGGGCUUAAAACUAAAACAAGCUCAAAGAAAAAAAUAUUAUUCAAAAAUUCAACUUACCACCCAGCAAAUCUUCACCCAUUUUUGGAGGUGUGGAAGCCAUUUUUUCUUUGUUAUUUCUACUCAAUUGUUUACUAAAAUAUUGAAAAUCAAGUUUUAAUUUUAAAUCAAUUUAAUAUUCAAAGAAUAUUCUUUAAAAUUCCUUUAUCGUUUUUGCAAACAAGAUUUACCGACACAACAAA